AUGAAUACCUUAAUAGAAUAUAUCGGUCCGAUUAUCCUCAUAGUACUAAUAAUCUCUUAUAGCAUCUAUCGCAGAUGCCAUCCUAAUAAUAUGGACACUAAACAAGCGCUCAAAUGUCCAAAAUGUAAGUCAAUAAAACUGCAAACUUACAUUCCAACACAAAAAAGAUAUUCUCGUAAAGCCGGUAUGAUUGGUCAUGCAAUCAAUGGCAUAGAGGGAGCUAUGUUUGCAAUGCUCUAUGAAGCUGAUCGGACUUAUUAUCGUUGUCAACAUUGCGGUUACCGAUUUUCUAGAAAGGAGAAUCGUUUUAUUUCCAACAUCGAAUAACCUCCCUGAUUUUUAGAGAAUUUUGCUAUUGAAAACGAAGAAUUCUCACCCCUUACAAAUCCCGUUAUAUCAACAUUUACGAAAAUGAAACUUCCAUGAAAAUGGACUAAAAUCCUCUGAUUUGGAUAAAAUCGACACCAAUUAACACCAUAAAAUAGACUAGUCAUCAGUAGGUCAAACUAAUUUGACCUACUUUAUC
RNAcentral lists this small RNA (526 nucleotides) under Streptococcus suis. Its description in RNAcentral is "trans-acting small RNA SsRNA34". Lineage: Bacteria; Bacillati; Bacillota; Bacilli; Lactobacillales; Streptococcaceae. The record is from RNAcentral.